GAACGCUGGCGGCAGGCCUAAUACAUGCAAGUCGAACGGCAGCACAGCAGAGCUUGCUCUGUGGGUGGCGAGUGGCGGACGGGUGAGGAAUACGUGGGAAUCUGCCCAGUCGUGGGGAUAACGUAGGGAAACUUACGCUAAUACCGCAUACGCCCUUCGGGGGAAAGCCGGGGACCUUCGGGCCUGGCGCGAUUGGAUGAGCCCACGUCGGAUUAGCUAGUUGGCGGGGUAAAGGCCCACCAAGGCGACGAUCCGUAGCUGGUCUGAGAGGAUGAUCAGCCACACUGGAACUGAGACACGGUCCAGACUCCUACGGGAGGCAGCAGUAGGGAAUAUUGGACAAUGGGCGCAAGCCUGAUCCAGCCAUGCCGCGUGAGUGAAGAAGGCCCUCGGGUUGUAAAGCUCUUUUUGUCCGGAAAGAAAAGCGCCGGGUUAAUACCCUGGUGUCCUGACGGUACCGGAAGAAUGAGCACCGGCUAACUUCGUG
This 487-nucleotide ribosomal RNA is filed under the name uncultured bacterium. RNAcentral's name for it is "bacterial SSU rRNA". It matches the Rfam family "Bacterial small subunit ribosomal RNA", at positions 31 to 507 of the family's 1533-position model. The record is from RNAcentral.